GUAAUGUUCUUGCCUCUGCUUAAGAGUUCCUGAUUCUCAGCUUUGCUACCCAAGAGCUUCUUUUAAGAUCAGUAGCAUCACCAAAGAUCUGGCGAGAAAUGCACCCCUCAGAGCUCACCCAAACUAAUUACAUAGGAGACUGCAGUUUAACAAGAUCCCUAAGUAUGCUAUUCAUAUUUAAAGCUGUAAAAUAAGCUUUCUGUAAUAAUGAAAUUAAGUGUGCACACUGUUAUGAGCAAAAUACGUUAUUCAAAUAAUUUCUACUAGUAGUCAAUAAUAAUUGAUUGCUUUGAAUGUAAACAUGUUUUUGUUCUGACCCCAGGUGUGGGUUGUAGGACUGAUUGUCCACAGUAGCAGACUGUUUGCCUGGUGCAGGCUCUGAGAGGGGUCCUUUGGCAGAUGCAGAUAGUUUAAAUCUGAGGACUCUGGAGAGGGAAUAAAUGCCAGAGCCUAGAGAGUGCUAAAGGCUCCAAAAAAGAAAGCUGCUGGUGUCUACCCCUGCUGCUUGCUGUUGCUGUUGAUACAGUUUGAAGAGAAGUCCGAGAUAUCCUGAAAUGAAGACUGGAAUUUCCACAGGAACCUGAGGACCCUAACAAGCAGGAAGUAGAACUGUGGUUUUGAGUGGACAUGGAAACACCUCUCUGGAACUUGAGGCUACAUUCAUUGAAUAAAGUAGGCUUGUUAUCCACAGUUCUGCUUCAACUGCUAAGUUAUCAUGGAGAAUGACGUCGUUGGAGACCUGUGAGAACUGAUGUAGGAACCGAUGCUGGAAAGCCCACACAGCAGCUUCAGACCUCAACAUCGGUGUCACCUGAAAGCGUCCCUGGUGCUGGAUGCAGGGCCCGAGGCAGACGACAGGGUCAUGGGUUUGACAGCAACUGCUACUGAAGAGAAGAGACUCGGAAGGAUCCACCACCCGGGAGACUAGAGAGACGGGAGAGGAAGAGUGGAUGGCUCCUGGUGAACUAUGAGAGGCAGAGAGCAGAGUGAGAUCCUGGGUAGGUUUCUUCCCCAGGACAUUUUCAGAAAUUACAUGUAGCUUUGAGAGUGAGACUGAGCACCCAGACAGAACCAUAUUUGAAGGUUUGUGAAGGUGUGCGGUGGACGGAGGGACAAGCCGGGAGGGAACUCACAAACACUCAGGCUGACUCACGGGACAGUGAGGCUGACACAUGGGACAGUGAGGCUGACACACGGGACAGAGGGGGCUGACAGCCUCAGGGCUGCAGCGCAAGUGGACCAGAACUUGUGGGAAUCUCAACUCUGACCCAGUUUCUGCUUCACUGUCAGUCACCAGUUGCCACAGCAGAGCCCACCGUGGGAACCGACCCCUCCCUAGAAGAGGGCAGUAGCAUGCCAGCUCUCUUAGUUCCCAAACCAGAGCCCUCCAGCUGUGAGGCACAGGUGAGGCAGAUGAGAUGCCAAGUCCCAAGCAAGA
Molecule: long non-coding RNA, 1438 nt
Organism: Meriones unguiculatus (Mongolian gerbil)
Lineage: Eukaryota; Metazoa; Chordata; Mammalia; Rodentia; Muridae
Exons: 3
Source: RefSeq, a predicted model, not a curated record